This 237-nucleotide ribosomal RNA is filed under the name uncultured bacterium. RNAcentral's name for it is "partial 16S ribosomal RNA". It matches the Rfam family "Bacterial small subunit ribosomal RNA", at positions 99 to 334 of the family's 1533-position model. The record is from RNAcentral.
CGAACGGGUGAGUAACGCGUGAGGAACCUGCCUCAAAGAGGGGGACAACAGUUGGAAACGACUGCUAAUACCGCAUAAGCCCACGGCUCGGCAUCGAGCAGAGGGAAAAGGAGCAAUCCGCUUUGAGAUGGCCUCGCGUCCGAUUAGCUAGUUGGUGAGGUAACGGCCCACCAAGGCGACGAUCGGUAGCCGGACUGAGAGGGUGAACGGCCACAUUGGGACUGAGACACGGCCCAA